AUCGCUUCUUGGCCUUUUGGCUAAGAUCAACUGGAGUAUCUGUUUCUAUCAGUUUAAUAAAACAGGAACAAAAAUAAGUCAGUAACUUUGAAUAGUUCGAAUAAAUCUGAUAAAAUGUUCAAAUUUAUUCAGUUAAAGUGUUUUUGUCUAUGAUUUUUAACCAUU
Molecule: small nuclear RNA, 165 nt
Organism: Oryctolagus cuniculus (rabbit)
Lineage: Eukaryota; Metazoa; Chordata; Mammalia; Lagomorpha; Leporidae
Gene: U2
Rfam family: U2 spliceosomal RNA
About the family: U2 is a small nuclear RNA (snRNA) component of the spliceosome (involved in pre-mRNA splicing). Complementary binding between U2 snRNA (in an area lying towards the 5' end but 3' to hairpin I) and the branchpoint sequence (BPS) of the intron results the bulging out of an unpaired adenosine, on the BPS, which initiates a nucleophilic attack at the intronic 5' splice site, thus starting the first of two transesterification reactions that mediate splicing.
Source: Ensembl